AUCCGUCACCUGACACGGCCCUACCAGGAACAGCCGCGCUCCCGCGGAUUCUGGUGCUGCUCGCGUCCCCGCUCCCCUAUUCCCCUUAUUUUAUUCCUGGCUCCCCUCGUCGAAAGUCUUCCAUUCUUCAAACUAGAUUAUUUAAAAAUGAAAAAGGAAGAAAGGAAAGCGAGGUCAUCUCAUUGCUCUAUCCGCCAAUCAGGAGGCUGAAUGUCAGUUUUGAACUAAAAGCCGCUCCGCUCCUCUUCUAGAUUUGGAAAACAAGCGAAAUUAAACUAAACCGCUGCACGCCUCUGACGCGACAUCUGGACACGGCGCGGCGCUGGCGCUGCCGGAGCUGUCGACCCGGCCUGGCGCCGGACUAGCGAGGCAGCCGAGCUGCAGACACAGAGAUGCAGAUCUUUGUGAAGACCCUCACGGGCAAGACCAUCACCCUUGAGGUCGAGCCCAGUGACACCAUUGAGAAUGUCAGUGCGAAAAUUCAAGACAAGGAGGGUAUC
RNAcentral lists this long non-coding RNA (500 nucleotides) under Homo sapiens (human). Its description in RNAcentral is "non-protein coding CDKN2B-AS1:58". The stretch from base 2 to 47 matches the Rfam family "CDKN2B antisense RNA 1 convserved region 2". Lineage: Eukaryota; Metazoa; Chordata; Mammalia; Primates; Hominidae. The record is from RNAcentral.